RNAcentral lists this unclassified non-coding RNA (759 nucleotides) under Ixodes scapularis (black-legged tick). RNAcentral's name for it is "pre-mRNA-splicing factor 38B, transcript variant X1". The record is from RNAcentral. Lineage: Eukaryota; Metazoa; Arthropoda; Arachnida; Ixodida; Ixodidae.
UUAACGCGAAGUCGCGAAGUCUUCGUUUGCGUCACUGUGUGGUUCCCUGUAUGUUUCGUACGAACGACGUUGGAUUAAUUUCAGCCACUGAAAACGACUUUAGGAGUUAAAUCAUGGCUCCCGGGGGCCCAGCCGAGAAAAAAGGCAACGUCCUUCCGCUGUGGGGCAAUGAAAAGACGAUGAACCUCAACAACCUGAUUCUGACAAACAUUCUCUCGUCGCCUUAUUUCAAAGUAAAUCUGUACAAGUUGAAGACAUAUCACGAGGUCGUGGACGAGAUCUACUACAACGUGCAACACCUAGAGCCCUGGGAAAAGGGAAGCAGGAAGACAUCUGGCCAGACUGGAAUGUGUGGAGGGGUCCGUGGUGUCGGUGCGGGGGGCAUAGUGUCGACCGCGUUCUGCAUUCUCUACAAGCUGUUCACCCUCAAGCUGACCCGCAAGCAGCUCAACGGCCUCAUGAACCACUGCGACUCACCCUACAUCCGAGCGCUCGGCUUCAUGUACAUCAGAUUCACACAACCUCCAGCAGACCUAGUGGACUGGUAUGAACCGUACCUUGACGACGAAGAGUUACAAGUUGGAUUGACGACAUCCUCCUCUUGUUGAUGGGGUGCUGCACUUUUGGAAAGUGAAUGGUCAAACAAUAACGAAACAUUGAGCAUGCUUGAAUCUGAUCGGAGCACUCUACUAUGCUCAGGUUGCUCUUCCAGGCUGGCUGCGUCAAUGUGCCCGCACGUGCCUUGAGCUCGAAUUCGGG